Molecule: ribosomal RNA, 207 nt
Filed under: uncultured bacterium
Lineage: Bacteria
Description: partial 16S ribosomal RNA
Rfam family: Bacterial small subunit ribosomal RNA
Source: RNAcentral
CGCCCGCCGCGCGCGGCGGGCGGGGCGGGGGCACGGGGGGCCUACGGGAGGCAGCAGUGGGGAAGAAUAGGGACUUGGGGCGAGCCUGAUCAGCAUGCCGCGUGAGUGAUGAAGGCCUUAGGGUUGUAAAGCUCUUUUACCCGAGAUGAUAAUGACAGUAUCGGGAGAAUAAGCUCCGGCUAACUCCGUGCCAGCAGCCGCGGUAAU